GGGGUUGUGGCUCAGUGGUAGAGCUCUCCCCAGCAUGUGUGAGGUACUGGCUUCAAUUCUCAGCACCACA
RNAcentral lists this transfer RNA (70 nucleotides) under Marmota monax (woodchuck). Its description in RNAcentral is "tRNA.Ala". Lineage: Eukaryota; Metazoa; Chordata; Mammalia; Rodentia; Sciuridae. The record is from RNAcentral.